GGGGGUAGAGCAGUCACUUCCCAUCACGGUCGCCGUCAUCGCUUCCCCCUCCGAAUCCAACAACAUCUCGCCUCGCCGCGGUUUCACUCCUCACUCCCCAUCCCUCUCCAGCAGCAGCUCGCGUCCACCGCCACCGCCCACCAUGAGCCGCGAUCAAUUCCUCCUCCGCCUCCUCGACCUCCACGCCGGCGACGACCCCUUCUUCCCCUUCCCCACCUCCUCCUCCUUCUCCUCCUGCCCAUUCUCCACCUCCUCCGCCCACCACCGCUUCCUCCUCGACGACCACCCCUCCUGCCCCCUCGGCUUCACCUCCCCAUCCCCGAUCGACACCUUCCACCUCGACCUCGACCUCGACCUCGACCUCCUCCUCCCUCCCCGCGCCGCCGCGCCCCCGUGCCCCGCCUUCUUCGACCCCUUCCUCCUCGACGCGCUCGGCCACCGCGUCUCCGCGCUCGAGCGCGCGCUCGCCCCACCACCCCCGGCGCCCCGCCGCAAGUACACCUACGCCGCCGAGGCCGACGGCAGGAAGGUCAAGUGGGUCGCCGAGGACAAGCCCGCCGGCGGGAAGGCCUACAAGUGGGAGGCCGAGCUCAAGACCCCCAACGACGACGGCUUCGACCGCAAGUGGAAGUGGGAGUCCAAGGCAUCCGCCGCCGGCACCACCAAGGUCAAGUGGGCCAAGGAGAUCAAGGGCAAAGGGUGGCUCGAGCCAUGGUCCAACUCCUACUCCGUCGAGGAGACCUACGGCGACGACGACGACCAAGACAAGGCCGCCACCGCCGCCGUCAACAAAGUCAAGGAGGAGAACAAGCCCAAGGAUAUGAAGAAGAAGAAGGGCAACGUCGAGAUCGUCGAGAUCGAGGACAACACCAAGGGAUGUGUCGCCAUCAGGAAGGUCAGAUCUUUAUGCACUGUACUGCCUGCGUUUGGUAGGCGAACUAUAAUGCGGCGCCUAGAUUUGGUCAAAUGUACAGCAAAGAUUGCAUUUUUAUGUCAGUUCCUGCUGCGUGGCUCACAGCUCGGCAAGAUCUGUGAGAAAUGCGAUCUUUUUCUUAGGAAUUCCCGUGAUUUUAGAUUCCAUUCUGUGCUAACCAUUUGGGAAAAAAAACAAAUGGAUUUUGGGUGCUGAAGUUACUGAAUAGUUGGGGGUUUAGUUAAUUCAACCUUGCAUUGCAUUCUUAUAGCUACAAAAAAAAAGAAUUCAAUUUGUUGGCCAUUUGUGCCUGUAAUCACAUCAUGCUCCUCUCCCCAGGCAUUUGAAAUGAGCCAUGCCAAGGGAAAGAAGAAGGAACUAUCCCAACAAGAUGCUGCAUUGCUGAUACAGAUGAGCUACAGGGCGCACCUGGCCCAUCGCUCCCAGGUGCUCCGAUGCCUCCGCGACCUUGCUGUGGCCAAAGCCAAGCUCAAGGAGAUCAGGUCCUUCUUCUACAACAUCUCAUACCGCCGCCGCAUUGCCCAUGACUCUGAAGAGCGCCAGAGGUUCGCUGAGAAAAUCAUUGUGCUGCUCUUGACCGUUGAUGCCCUUGAGGUAAGUUCUUCACCCAUUUGAUGCUACUUUCACUAGUAUAUGUUAAUACUAAACUUGUAUUCCGUGUAUGUUCACUUGUUCACCAUACGCAGUUGUUCAUUUUCAGUUUCGGUUAUGACAACUGUUUUACACAAGAAUCUGUUAGCACUAUGCAAUGUUGUUUAGAGUACUACAAAUUACGUUUUACUAUCAAUAUUAUCCAGGACACUAGAUGAAAGUGGUGAUGACAUGCUCUGUGGCACUAUUGUUAUGGUCUUACAUGAUGUGCACAUUAACUUGAAAAAAAAUCUGAAACAUGUACUAGAGUUGACUUAUUGCUUUCACAGUUGAUCUUUUAAUAUGGUUGCUGGUGUAUAUAUAAUAUGCUCUGUCCAAUGACUGACACAUGACUGCCUUUAAGGGUGUUAGCCUUUAUGGCUUAAAUUUAAAUCAUUUCAGUACAUUUUUUACACUAUAUAAGUUUUUUGUACCGUCAAAUGUUUGCUGCUCUAGCCUCUGUUUGGCCACUUCACAACUCCAUGCACCUUUAAAAGUUUGCAGUUUUUAGGGCAGAUUGUAAUCUAAGGACAAAGCUGCAAAGAAUUUCCAAUUUAUGACCUGCAAAAAGGGAAAACAAAAGAAUCUUCUAAUCAUGCUCACAGUUUAAGGUCUUUUGUGAAUACGUGAACUGUGGAAACUCAAACUACAUCACCUUCACUGUUUGGGAAAAAAAACAUUCCGUUAAGGUUUUUUUGUCUGAUUCCCUGUUACUCUGCCUUGCAAUUGAUCCUGAAAAAACAAUGCAAGAAGAAACAAUUUAAAUGAUAAUCCCCUUAUGUUCCUGUUUCAUGUGCCAAUGCAUUACUUUGUGCUUGCCAGGGACCGGACUACAUGGUUCGCAAUGCCAAGAGAUCGAUGCUUGAGGAACUUGAGGGGAUGUUGGAGAUUGUUGACCCUCAGCCACCAGGGAAGCCAAGGACACUUAGCCGCAGGAAGUUUGAUCUCCCAGAAGGUGGAGCCAUCCCAAAGGAGAUGAGGGAUGGUGUCAAAAAUGUCGUCAGAAUUGUCGAGGAGGGCAAGUAAGAUUCAUCAGUGAU
Molecule: long non-coding RNA, 2604 nt
Filed under: Setaria viridis
Lineage: Eukaryota; Viridiplantae; Streptophyta; Magnoliopsida; Poales; Poaceae
Description: long non-coding RNA (SVIR_LNC000005)
Source: RNAcentral